UUGGACCUCCAAAAAAUCAACUUAAAGUCACCCAAAUGCAAAUAAAAUCUGUCACCUAUCAAUCUCUGGAAAUUCAGUUAAAUCAUGUUUUUCCCAAACUUUGAGCCCCAGUAACUUCAAAUAUGUAGAUUUUUAGGCCGAUCACCUUUACUGAAAGUUGUAGGUGGAUGAUUUAUAUACAACUUUGGUAUACAUUAUAUGUAUAGGUUAUGCAAGAAUUUUGGGAGAAUUCAUCAGUCGAACAUGGUCAAUUC
This 254-nucleotide long non-coding RNA is filed under the name Setaria viridis. Its description in RNAcentral is "long non-coding RNA (SVIR_LNC006657)". Lineage: Eukaryota; Viridiplantae; Streptophyta; Magnoliopsida; Poales; Poaceae. The record is from RNAcentral.